This 894-nucleotide long non-coding RNA is filed under the name Monodelphis domestica (gray short-tailed opossum). Its description in RNAcentral is "lncRNA (ENSMODG00000049652.1)". Lineage: Eukaryota; Metazoa; Chordata; Mammalia; Didelphimorphia; Didelphidae. The record is from RNAcentral.
GGUCAGCCUCAGGGAGCCCAACCCUAACCUGAACAACCAGAACACUCCCUGUCAUCAGACCCGGAACAUGAAGGCAAUGGGACACCGGCGGGGGCGGGCUGGGCUUUGACCGGACGUGAUUGGUUCUGACGUCAGGCCCCGCCCACGCCACGCCCCUGGGCGUUUUACUCGCCCCACCCACCACUCGGAGAAAUCUGCCGGUGGGGACGGGGAGGAGUCGCGGGGUUCUGAGCCCUAGAACUGGGGUGCAGGAAGAGCUGUGCACGGGACCGUGGCUAACCAUGCGCGCUGCUUCCACCGCCGGACCCUGGUCCGUAAGACUAAGAAAAACCACAGGAAGUGUCCACACAGGUUGAUGCUGAGCAAGGGCAGAAGAGGAUCUUGGGGCUUUACUCGUGAGGUGGAUUAUGUUAUCUUCAUUUUCAAAAACAAGAGAAUGAAGAAAGAAAAGAGGAAUGCAACCAAGAAAAAAAAGAAGGCAAAGAAAAAAAAGAAAAGACUGAAGCCUGUAACCUUUUAUUAGCCUGUAUUUUGAGACCAUUGUCAGGCAUAAGGUAGUCCCUCCUAAAAGGAUGCAGCUUGAGACCUUGUCCCGGUACCAAGAUUAUGUUUAAGGAAAGGCCUUUGGUGAGGAGAGAGAGAAAAGAAGAUAUCACCUGCUCCCAGCACUCCAAGAGAGCCCAACUGCCACUCCCAGAGACUAACUGCCACCUCCUUCAGAGCAACAGCCACACCCAGAGAGUAACUGACACAGAAAAACCAUUACACUGUCUCAGAUCUGUUUCAAACCAGCUUCUCUCCUUCUUGUCUCUAAACUAAUAUGACAAGACUUAAUUUCUAAUGUCAUCCUUAUACUCCAAGUUAAAUUCUGAAAUAAAUGAGUCCAGAAGUUCA